This 253-nucleotide ribosomal RNA is filed under the name uncultured bacterium. RNAcentral's name for it is "partial 16S ribosomal RNA". It matches the Rfam family "Bacterial small subunit ribosomal RNA", at positions 524 to 776 of the family's 1533-position model. The record is from RNAcentral.
CACGUAGGGCGCAAGCGUUGUCCGGAAUUAUUGGGCGUAAAGAGCUCGUAGGCGGUCUGUUACGUCUGCUGUGAAAACCCGGGGCUUAACCCUGGGCUUGCAGUGGAUACGGGCAGACUAGAGGCAGGUAGGGGAGAAUGGAAUUCCCGGUGUAGCGGUGAAAUGCGCAGAUAUCGGGAGGAACACCGGUGGCGAAGGCGACCAUCUGGACGACAACUGACGCUGAGGCGCGAAAGCGUGGGGAGCAAACAGG